This is a long non-coding RNA of Ictidomys tridecemlineatus (thirteen-lined ground squirrel), 1397 nucleotides long. Lineage: Eukaryota; Metazoa; Chordata; Mammalia; Rodentia; Sciuridae. The record is from Ensembl.
CUUCCCAACCUUGCCUUCCCAGUUCAGUCAAACCAGUUGGAGCUGGAGUCAGUCUGCAAUGGUGGGGAAGAUCAGAUUUCAGAAAUGGAAGGUGUUCUGCCCCAUCCUCCCUCCAGGGCUGAUCAAGGGUAAUUAUUCACAACAACAACAACAACACAUGGUAAUCUACCCAGUAUCUUUCUCCCAACUACAGAAAAAAACAUAAGGCUAGAAGGUUCAGAAAUACACCCAUCUGCUAAAUUGACUUCACUGCAGAAGCUUGAAAGCAAAGAAAUAGGUGUUAUCAGUAUCCUAGAAGUUGUCCAGAAACCACCACAGCCCAUCGGAGUCCCUGGUGGACAGAAGUUAUCUGAUGACCACUCUUCCUGGAUGAAGAGGUUAUCCAUGCCAGGGUCUGUUCACGGAGGUGUCAACCUGCACUCAUCUUUACUCUUACCGGAGAGGAGAAUCUUCUGCCAUCUAUAGUUCCUGGACUUGCCCACAUUGCACUCAGUCACAUUCUGUUGGACUGAUGAGGGGCUUCUUCCCCUCUCUCACUGCCUGCUCCACCAAUAGGCAGAAACGCCUGUGAUUACAACAAACUCUCUUCCUCAGCAAUCCCUGCUACUUGGUCUAUUUUGAUAGUAUUUCACGGAAUAGGUAGGUCUCUGGCUCCAGGAUGUGCAUUGGGUAAAAAAACCACCUUCUGCUAUGCUUUUUGGGGCAUACAAUUUGCCCUUUUAUCCUUGAGAAAGAGAAAGCAAUUCAAUAUUAGGGAACGAAGUUGUCAAAAAUAAUGAUACUGCUACAACAGAAGGAGAGUUUUCAAGCUAGUGGAUGCCCUCACCUUUCAGCCAAAGGUUGAUAAAGGGGGACAUAUGAAGUCCUGAACUCCCCUUUAGGGUGGAUGGAGUAACUGCUACAGAUAGGCAAACAUGUGUCAGUGGAAAUCUUCCCUAAUUCUAAAACCAAGUUGAAUGCCAGGAUUAUUUCCAAUGUAAGAUGUUUUCCUUUUUCAUUUGGUCAUGUCUUUGUAGGUAUUUUAAUUGGAAUAUCUUAAGGCUUCAUCAGUGAGUUAUAACUAAGUUCUUAAAACAUUAUUUUUAAAGUCAGAAGCUUCCAUUAGUUGAUUUUAUUUUAAUGUCAAUAUUCAUGAUAAGUGACUACUACUUGCACAGACAGCUUACCUUUAUAUGUUUCCCUUGCUUUUAAAACUAGGAGGCUAUUUUGUCUCUCUAAGAGCAUGUCAUGUAUUCUAGUCCUGCGUUAUAUACAGUAUUUUAUACAACAUAUGGCUUUUCAAACUGACUUCCUCAGAAAAACUGGCCAAAAUGAAGGAGAGAAUUGAUAUUUUUUCUCCUUCUUAGGAGGAAAAAUCCAGUAUGUUCAUUUUCUACCACUUUGAGGGCCAUAUUUCC